CGUGUAGGCGGGGCGGAACGUCGGUAACUGAAAGCCCCCGGCUCAACCGGGGAAGGGGUGCCGAAACGACCAUCCUGGAGGGACGUAGGGGGACCUGGAACUUCCGGUGGAGCGGUGAAAUGCGUUGAGAUCGGAAGGAACGCCCGUGGCGAAAGCGAGGUCCUGGACGUCUACUGACGCUGAGACGCGAAAGCUAGGGGAGCAAACG
This 208-nucleotide ribosomal RNA is filed under the name uncultured bacterium. Its description in RNAcentral is "partial 16S ribosomal RNA". It matches the Rfam family "Bacterial small subunit ribosomal RNA", at positions 568 to 774 of the family's 1533-position model. The record is from RNAcentral.